Nyctereutes procyonoides (raccoon dog) is the source of this 833-nucleotide RNA transcript. It is a transcript of the gene named copper metabolism domain containing 1, with no coding region annotated. NCBI's taxonomy places the organism in Eukaryota, Metazoa, Chordata, Mammalia, Carnivora, Canidae. The record is from RefSeq and is a predicted model, not a curated record. The transcript is spliced from 4 exons.
GGCCGCGCUCGGCUGCGGGGGGCGGGGCUGCCGGCCAGCAUGGCGGCCGAGCUCGAGGGCUCCAAGGCGCUGGGCGGGCUGCUGAGCGGCCUGGCCCAGGAAGCUUUCUACGGGCACCAGGGCAUCACGGAGGAGCUGCUGCGGAGCCAGCUCUAUCCGGAGGUGUCCCUCGAGGAGUUCCGCCCCUUUCUGGCGAAGAUGAGGGGCAUCCUUAAGUCGAUUGCAUCUGCAGACAUGGAUUUCAACCAGCUGGAGGCAUUCUUGACUGCUCAAACCAAAAAGCAAGGUGGGAUCACAUCUGACCAAGCUGCUGUCAUUUCCAAAUUUUGGAAGAACCAUAAGACAAAAAUUCGAGAGAGCCUCAUGAACCAGAGCCGUUGGGACAGUGGGCUUCGGGGCCUGAGUUGGAGAGUUGAUGGCAAAUCACAGUCAAGGCAUUCAGCUCAAAUACAUACCCCUGUUGCCAUAAUGGAGCUGGAAAUAGGAAAAAGUGGACAGGGGUCAUUUGACUUUCAUUUGAAGUUCUAAUAGACGGAAGGGGGAAAAACAGAAAAAUGAUGGAACAUUGGAGUUAUUAAUAACAGAAAAACCCAAAUUAAAUUAGAUUCCAAAUCUCAAAGGAAUCAGAAUUUCUGUGUUUGGAAUUUGAUGAAGUCAAGGUCAGUCAACUCCUAAAGAAGCUCUCAGAGGUAGAAGAAAGUAUCAGCACACUGAUGCAGCCAGCCUAGCUGAAGAUGGAGUUGUUGAAGCAAAGGUGUUCAUGAUCCAUCCCCAGUGACCUGCGAUUUUUUUUUAAUCUUAUUCCCCCAUUUUAUUAAAUCCUCAAAUUCAAA